CAGGAGUUGAUGUAGCAUUACAUGUUCUGCUUGCUGCAUUUUUGGAGAAGUGCAUGCAGAUACUCAAGUGACUCACAGACAUGCAACAGCUCAGAAGGCCAUCCUGUUUGUCUUUCAGUGAGAAGGAAAAGCCAAUAAACAUCUGUUGAACAUCAGGCAAAUUUGAACCACCAUGGGACAUUAUCUUGUGUCAUGAACAGACCACAGUUGACUCUCGGUUCCAGCAAGUGGGAGCUGGGGGAGUGAAAAUCGGCACGCAGCUGUGGACAGCAACUGAUAACACAAGCGUCCUGAGUGCUCAAAACAGAGGCGAAUCCCUCUCAACCCAGUGACCCCACAUCUGGGACUCUUCAAGAGGAAUAACACCAAACACUGGA
This 377-nucleotide long non-coding RNA is filed under the name Homo sapiens (human). RNAcentral's name for it is "non-protein coding lnc-CDC42BPB-1:2". The record is from RNAcentral. Lineage: Eukaryota; Metazoa; Chordata; Mammalia; Primates; Hominidae.